This 240-nucleotide small RNA is filed under the name Equus asinus (donkey). RNAcentral describes it as "7SK RNA". It matches the Rfam family "7SK RNA". From Rfam's summary of the family: 7SK was discovered as an abundant small nuclear RNA in the mid-70s but a possible function has only recently been suggested. Two independent studies have found that 7SK RNA binds the CDK9/cyclin T complex (known as elongation factor P-TEFb). Lineage: Eukaryota; Metazoa; Chordata; Mammalia; Perissodactyla; Equidae. The record is from Rfam by way of RNAcentral.
GGAUGUGAGGGAGAUCCGGCUUUGGUUUACAUCAUCAUGUUGAUCAAUUAUCUCACUGGCCAGGAAGGUGGUCCGUGCUUCCUUAUUUCUCCAAAUGCAUCUCUCCCAAAGCUGCUCACGCUCCAGAAGGAGGUCAGGGCUUUGUUCAAGAAUAUAUGAGAAGUUUCAUUCCUCUAGCAGAGUCUCCAAAAAAAACACUUUUUGAAUGUGAUUAAAUCAACAGACUAGACCAGAACAUCU